Molecule: transfer RNA, 67 nt
Filed under: Xenopus tropicalis (tropical clawed frog)
Lineage: Eukaryota; Metazoa; Chordata; Amphibia; Anura; Pipidae
Description: Xenopus (Silurana) tropicalis (western clawed frog) tRNA
Rfam family: tRNA
About the family: Transfer RNA (tRNA) molecules are approximately 80 nucleotides in length. Their secondary structure includes four short double-helical elements and three loops (D, anti-codon, and T loops).
Source: Rfam by way of RNAcentral
GGGGGUAUAGCUCAGGGGUAGAGCAUUUGACUGCAGAUCAAGAGGUCCCUGGUUCAAAUCGUCCUCA